RNAcentral lists this ribosomal RNA (465 nucleotides) under Vreelandella stevensii. Its description in RNAcentral is "partial 16S ribosomal RNA". It matches the Rfam family "Bacterial small subunit ribosomal RNA", at positions 338 to 795 of the family's 1533-position model. The record is from RNAcentral. Lineage: Bacteria; Pseudomonadati; Pseudomonadota; Gammaproteobacteria; Oceanospirillales; Halomonadaceae.
CCUACGGGGUGCAGCAGUGGGGAAUAUUGGACAAUGGGGGGAACCCUGAUCCAGCCAUGCCGCGUGUGUGAAGAAGGCCCUCGGGUUGUAAAGCACUUACAGUGAGGAAGAACGCCUGGUGGUUAAUACCCAUCAGGAAAGACAUCACUCACAGAAGAAGCACCGGCUAACUCCGUGCCAGCAGCCGCGGUAAUACGGAGGGUGCGAGCGUUAAUCGGAAUUACUGGGCGUAAAGCGCGCGUAGGUGGCUUGAUAAGCCGGUUGUGAAAGCCCCGGGCUCAACCUGGGAACGGCAUCCGGAACUGUCAAGCUAGAGUGCAGGAGAGGAAGGUAGAAUUCCCGGUGUAGCGGUGAAAUGCGUAGAGAUCGGGAGGAAUACCAGUGGCGAAGGCGGCCUUCUGGACUGACACUGACACUGAGGUGCGAAAGCGUGGGUAGCAAACAGGAUUAGAUACCCCAGUAGUC